RNAcentral lists this ribosomal RNA (522 nucleotides) under Trigonopterus sp. 848 AR-2022a. Its description in RNAcentral is "SSU rRNA". Lineage: Eukaryota; Metazoa; Arthropoda; Insecta; Coleoptera; Curculionidae. The record is from RNAcentral.
AGAGCUCCGACCGGAGACGGAAGGAGUGCUUUUAUUAGAUCAAAACCAAUCGGUGGCGGAUUCGGCUGUCAUCGUACAACUUGGUGACUUUGAAUAACCUUACGCUGAUCGCACGGUCAUCGCACCGGCGACGCAUCUUUCAAAUGUCUGCCUUAUCAACUGUCGAUGGUAGGUUCUGCGCCUACCAUGGUUGUAACGGGUAACGGGGAAUCAGGGUUCGAUUCCGGAGAGGGAGCCUGAGAAACGGCUACCACAUCCAAGGAAGGCAGCAGGCGCGCAAAUUACCCACUCCCGGCACGGGGAGGUAGUGACGAAAAAUAACGAUACGGGACUCAUCCGAGGCCCCGUAAUCGGAAUGAGUACACUCUAAACCCUUUAACGAGGAUCAAUUGGAGGGCAAGUCUGGUGCCAGCAGCCGCGGUAAUUCCAGCUCCAAUAGCGUAUAUUAAAGUUGUUGCGGUUAAAAAGCUCGUAGUCGAAUUUGUGUCUCGCGCCGCCGGUUCAUCGUYCGCGGUGUUAACU